AACGAACGCUGGCGGCAGGCUUAACACAUGCAAGUCGAACGAGAUCUUCGGACCCAGUGGCAGACGGGUGAGGAACACGUGGGAACAUCCCUUUAAGAUCGGAUUAACGUUGGGAAACUAACGUUAAUAACGGAUACGUCCUUCGGGAGAAAGAUUUAUCGCUGAAAGAUUGGCCCGCGUCUGAUUAGCUAGUUGGUGAGGUAAUGGCUAACAAAGGCUACGAUCAGUAGCUGCUCUGAGAGGAUGAUCAGCCACAUUGGGACUGAGACACGGCCCAAACUCCUACGGGAGGCAGCAGUGGGGAAUAUUGUACGAUAGUCACAAGCCUGAUCCAGCCAUGCCGCGUGAGUGAUGAAGGCCUUCGGGUUGUAAAGCUCUUUUAUCCAGGAGGAUAAUGACUGUACCAGAAGAAUAAGCCCCGGCAAACUUCGUGCCAGCCGCCGCCGUAA
This 449-nucleotide ribosomal RNA is filed under the name uncultured bacterium. RNAcentral's name for it is "partial 16S ribosomal RNA". It matches the Rfam family "Bacterial small subunit ribosomal RNA", at positions 29 to 523 of the family's 1533-position model. The record is from RNAcentral.